UGGCAUUUGUCAGAAAUUCCUACUUCUUGAUUAAUUUGGGAAAAUGAGGAGUGUGUGGCCAUGCUGAUAUCCUUUAACCUGGAGUGCUCAUGUUGGUGUUUUGCGGAAGUUCUCUAUGGAGAAAGAGCCUCAAAUUUCCUCAUUGACAAUUUUGUCCUCUAAUGAGCCUGGCAACUCAGGGCUGGAAAAACACAGGCUGCUGCUCUCCCCUCCUGUGGUCAUGACAGACAUUGCUAAUCAAGUACAGCACUCUUCUUACUGAGCCUGGAUGGGCCUGGGAACCUUCCAGAAGACAGCAUUCAAGGUCCUGUGAAUGUUGCCUUAUUUGGAAAAGAGCCUUUGCAGUUGUUUAGGAUCGUGAAACAAUGAGAUCAUCCUGCAUUCUUUGUUGAGCCCUAAAUCCAGUGACAGUGUCCUUCUAGGAGUGAAGUGGAGGCAGAUUUAACAGAGAGGAGAUGGAGGAAAUGUGACCACAGAAGCAGAGAUUGGAGUGAUGUGUCCACAAGUCAGUGAAUACCUACAGCCUAGAAGGGGCCGAGCAUUGAUUCUCCACUGCAGCCUCCAGAGGGAGGGUGGCACUGCUGAUGUCUUGGUUUUGGACUGCUGGCCUCCAGAAACGUGAACAGAUAUAGUUCAGUUGCCCCAUCAUGUGACUGUAGCUCCACCAAUCUGAUGAUCUUAAGCCAAGGUUUGCCAAGAAGUAGAACAGG
Long non-coding RNA from Fukomys damarensis (Damara mole-rat), 710 nucleotides. RefSeq lists it as uncharacterized. NCBI's taxonomy places the organism in Eukaryota, Metazoa, Chordata, Mammalia, Rodentia, Bathyergidae. The transcript has 3 exons. The record is from RefSeq and is a predicted model, not a curated record.